GCAAUGGGGGAAACCCCGACCAGGGGAAUCCAAGUGCUUGCACUUUGUGUAAGCUGUUCGGUUGUCUAAAAAACAGCCGAAGGAAGGGCUGGGUAAGACAGGUGCCAGCCGCCGCGGUAAUACCUGCAGCCCGAGUGGUGAUCGAUUUUAUUGAGCCUAAAGCGUCCGUAGCCGGACUAGUAAACCCUUGGGUAAAUUGGGCAGCUUAACUGUCCGAAUUCCGAGGGGACUGCUAGUCUUGGGACCGGGAGAGGUCAGAGGUACUCCAGGGGUAGGGGCUAAAUCCUGUAAUCCUUGGGGGACCACCAGUGGCGAAGGCGUCUGACUAGAACGGAUCCGACGGUAAGGGACGAAACCCUGGGGCGCGAACCGGAUUAGAUACCCGGGUAGUCCAGGGCGUAAACGCUGCAGGCUUGGUGUUGGGGACCCUACGAGGGUGCCCAGUGCCGGAGUGAAGAUGUUAAGCCUGCCGCUUGGGGAGUACGUCCGCAAGGAUGAAACUUAA
This 505-nucleotide ribosomal RNA is filed under the name uncultured archaeon. RNAcentral's name for it is "bacterial SSU rRNA". It matches the Rfam family "Archaeal small subunit ribosomal RNA", at positions 352 to 859 of the family's 1478-position model. The record is from RNAcentral.